CAAGCAAACAAGAGCAUCGGGUGGAUGCCUUGGCGACGGAAGGCGAUGAAAGACGCGGUAAGCUGCGAUAAGCCUCGGGGAGAAGCUAAACAUUCUUUGAUCCGUGGAUGUCUGAAUGGGGAAACCCGGCGGGAGUCAUGUCCCGUCAUCUGCAAGUGAAUACAUAGCUUGCAAGAAGCCAACUCAGGGAAGUGAAACAUCUCAGUACCUGAAGGAAAGGAAAUCAAACGAGACUCCCUCAGUAGCGGCGAGCGAAGGGGGAAUAGCCCAAACCGUCAGGAUUCGUCCUGUCGGGGUUGUAGGGCCGGCAUACGUGAUUCAUGACUAGGCAGGGGAAGGAAGCUGGAAAGCUUCGCCAGAGCGGGUGACAGCCCCGUACCCGAACCCGAAAGUGACACAGCCGGUACCUGAGUACCGCGAGGCACGUGAAACCUCGUGGGAAUCUGGGAGGACCAUCUUCCAAGGCUAAGUACUAACCGUCGACCGAUAGUGCACCAGUACCGUGAGGGAAAGGUGAAAAGAACCCCUGUCAGGGGAGUGAAAUAGAAUCUGAAACCUGAUGCUUACAAGCUGUGGGAGCCUCCUUGAGGGGUGACCACGUGCCUUUUGCAUAAUGAGUCAGCGAGUUAAUCUGUACUGCAAGGUUAAGCGUAAGUGGAGCCGUAGCGAAAGCGAGUCUGAUAAGGGCGUUUAGUAGUGCGGAUUAGACCCGAAACCGGGUGAUCUAUCCAUGAGCAGGUUGAAGCAAGGGUAAAGCCUUGUGGAGGACCGAACCCUUAACGGCUGAAAACGUUUGGGAUGACUUGUGGAUAGGGGUGAAAGGCCAAUCAAACCCGGUGAUAGCUGGUUCUCCCCGAAAUAUAUUGAGGUAUAGCCUCAUGGAUUGUCUACCGGAGGUAAAGCACUGACAGAGCUAGGGGUCCUACCAGAUUACCAAACUCUUUCAAACUCAGAAUGCCGGCUAGAUGUACCAUGGGAGUCAGACAGUGGGUGCUAAGGUCCAUUGUCGAGAGGGUAAGAGCCCAGAUCAACAGCUAAGGUCUCCAAAUCUAUGCUCAGUGGUUAAGGUGGUGACGUUGUAGAGACACCCAGGACGUUGGCUUAGAAGCAGCCAUCGUUUAAAGAAAGCGUAAUAGCUCACUGGUCUAAUGACGUUGCGCCGAAAAUGUAACGGGGCUAAGCAUAGUACCGAAGCUUUGAAUUCCGCGUAUGCGGUCUGGUAGGGGAGCGUUCUUCACGGGCAGAAGGGGUGUCGUAAGGCUACCUGGACUGUGGAGAAGUGAUUAUGCUGACAUGAGUAACGAUAAAACGGGUGAAAAACCCGUUCGCCGUAAACCCAAGGUUUCCUGGGUAAAGGUAAUCUUCCCAGGGUUAGUCGGUCCCUAAGGCGAGGCUGAAAGGCGUAGUCGAUGGGAAAC
Molecule: ribosomal RNA, 1418 nt
Filed under: Desulfovibrio desulfuricans
Lineage: Bacteria; Pseudomonadati; Thermodesulfobacteriota; Desulfovibrionia; Desulfovibrionales; Desulfovibrionaceae
Description: bacterial LSU rRNA
Rfam family: Bacterial large subunit ribosomal RNA
Source: RNAcentral